Molecule: long non-coding RNA, 879 nt
Filed under: Ananas comosus (pineapple)
Lineage: Eukaryota; Viridiplantae; Streptophyta; Magnoliopsida; Poales; Bromeliaceae
Description: long non-coding RNA (ACOM_LNC017759)
Source: RNAcentral
UGCAUAUGAUGUGAAGAUUCGGUAAAUGCAUAUAAUGUGAGAAAUGUAUAUUGCAUGAUAAUUGCAUAUGAAUAUAAUGCAUGCUAGUUGAUAAUGACAAAUUAAUAUGUUGAAUGUUAGAUGAAAGUAUGAACUAAAUGUUAGAGAGAUGCAUGAAAGUGAUGUUGUAUGAAUGCAUAGGCUAUAUUAUGCAAGUUGGAACAUAUGCAUGUUAAUGUAUUUGUGGACUAUGUUGAGUAACAUAUGCUAAUUAACAUAUGCUUGUUGACUUGGGUCUAAAACUCUUGGAUGAUUAGAAAACUCGACAUUGGAAAUACAAAUGUAGUAUUAAUAUCAUGAUAUGGUUUGAAUUCCUACAAUGGGAUGAUAAAUGUGGAUAAGACCUAGGUAAAUGACAACCUAGAGAUUUUGUACAAGUAGUGCAUCGAGAACACUUGAAUUAUGACAAGUGGCAUGUAGUUAAUGUGAACCUAUGACGAGUGGCAUAUAUGAAUCUUAGUGUAGCUGAAACACUAGAUUAAUGAGUAUAGAAACCUAUUGGUUCUAUGUUGAUGCUAUCCUUAGUUGAUAGGAUGUUCCCAGUUUAUGUGGAUUUGGAUCGAGCUCACAUAGCCUGUCUGCGCCUGUUGUGGUCGCCCCACACAGGUAGUGCACUCCGGAGUUGUCACACGAGGAGGGCCAGUGUAGUUGCCCUUGGACCAUUGUAGCUGUCCGCAGGCGUUCUCGGGGGUAGUUGAGUCUAGACUCCUCCCCUAGGAGGUUUAUAUACGUGAGAUUUGAUGCGAGCCUUGAGUUCGCCGAGAGAUUGGGUAACAAGUUAUGAGCUAUAGUGAUUGUCCUAGUUGAGGGGAUUUAAGGUCGAGGUGCAAGUGAGACGUC